AGCUAUACAAAGGGGAGCUGGAUUAAUUCAGCUGAGAGUGGAUCUAAAGCGAUCCUGACCCUAUAACCUGAUCUGGGUAAUGCCAGCGUAGGGAGCAUAACAAUGUCUUCU
Molecule: non-coding RNA, 111 nt
Filed under: Syntrophomonas zehnderi
Lineage: Bacteria; Bacillati; Bacillota; Clostridia; Eubacteriales; Syntrophomonadaceae
Also listed under: 1 other name
Description: TPP sequence
Rfam family: TPP riboswitch aptamer (THI element)
About the family: Vitamin B(1) in its active form thiamin pyrophosphate (TPP) is an essential coenzyme that is synthesised by coupling of pyrimidine and thiazole moieties in bacteria. The previously detected thiamin-regulatory element, thi box was extended, resulting in a new, highly conserved RNA secondary structure, the THI element, which is widely distributed in eubacteria and also occurs in some archaea. Analysis of operon structures identified a large number of new candidate thiamin-regulated genes, mostly transporters, in various prokaryotic organisms.
Source: RNAcentral